Cynoglossus semilaevis (tongue sole) is the source of this 3540-nucleotide long non-coding RNA. RefSeq lists it as uncharacterized. The transcript is spliced from 4 exons. NCBI's taxonomy places the organism in Eukaryota, Metazoa, Chordata, Actinopteri, Pleuronectiformes, Cynoglossidae. The record is from RefSeq and is a predicted model, not a curated record.
UGGGUGGCGACUGCUGCCCCCGCGACCCGGUAACGGAUAAGCGGAUGAAAAUGGAUGGAUGGAUGGAUUAACCAAAUUGUAUUGUGUGACAAUAAAUUGUCAAUGUUUAACUUCAUGUUCUCUUUUUGAAUAUUUUAGGGAUCCAGCUCUCCGAACCUAGGGAGAGAGUAAGACUUCUUGGGAAGGGUACAGUGAGGAAACCUCAGCACAUGCUGAGCGCGCACACACACACACACACACACACACACACAUACACCCACUGUACACACUUCAGCACAUUUGCACAUGAAGGAGAAGCGAUGGAGAUGAUUUUAUGUCAUGCGUGGGUGCAUUUGUGCUUCGACUUUAAACUGGUUAAAGGGCCCAGAGGCUUUAGAUUGCGUUAAAUGUGCGACUCAGCGUUCUUGUAACUAUUUCAGGACACCUGUUUCACAGAGUAGGACACAGCUUGGCCCUGGACGACUGACGGGUAGACUGACGCCCACAACAUCCUAGUGCCAGGGACUGUUUAAAGCCUGCUGCAUUGAAGGUAGGCCAGUUGUACUCUAAAGUCUCGUACUCCAGUUGUUUUAGUCCCAAUACUUUACUCUGAAGCCCGUCAUAGUCCACUGGGGUUGAAAAGUUUGCCUACACGUCUAGAAAAGCCUGGUGAAAAGUUCAGUAAUUUUCCCUUAUUUUAAACAAUCUGCACUCUUAACAUUAGAUGUCACCAAAGUCAUAUUAGUGUAAUUUGGAGCAUCUUCGUCGCCUCCUGGUGGAUUAGUUAUCAUUCAUCCACUGACUGUGGGUAGAACAGAACAGGUUAGUCCAGAUAGAACAGUGAACUGAGUGUAGAAUACUAAGGGACAAGUGCUCUGUUAGCCUGACGUGUACUGCCAUAUGUAUGGAAGUAUUACUUCAGUGUGUAGUUUAUACUGUCUUUUACUGUUUGUUUUUUCUAGCUUCUGUUUAAAAUAUAAUAUAUAAAUAAAAAGAAACACAAAACAGAAAAAGAAAGUAGCUUCUCAGCUGUACUGUUUCAUGUUUCCAUGCCAUUACCUAGUAGUUGUACUUCUGACCUUUUUCUUAAAAAAGAAAAAAAGUAAUUAUUUUAUUGCGUUUUUAAUUGGAGCAGAUGAAAACAGAAGUGCCUAAAACAGAACCAUUCAGAAUUCCUGUGAGUAUUUCAGUUCAUCAGGUGACGACAGCAAAGAAAAAAACAGUAGUAGUUUGGUGUCAGUUAAAUCUAAUGAGAUGUGCUGUUAUUGAAUAUUGAAUUGAAUAAAGCAGGCCAAUUGCAGCCCUUACACAGAUGUUACAUAUGUACAAUUGUUUAUGAGUAAUUGAAUGUAACGUGUGUGUCUAAAGUCUGGCUGUGGGGCCAAAUUGUGUCCCUUGCAAAGAUCUUACAUGACCCCAUCACCUUAUGUGUAUCUGUAAUCCUCUUGUCAGGGCUGUCUGUUUCCCCUUCCUGUCCUGUCUGCUGGGUGGAAUUGAGUGUGAUCACACUCACCUGUGUCUCUGUCAUCAGUCUUACUCGUGUCACCUGGGUAUAUAUACCUCUCUCCCUAACUCUGUCUUGGUGAGAUCAUUGUUCUGUUCAGUUUGAGUGAGUCAGUCCAUGUGUUUGAAGAAGUCCAUGUUUGUGGAGAAGACCAUGACCUGUAGUUGAUGCUUUUGUUCCUAGUGAGGAGCAACGAAAGCGCGUCACCGUUGGAGGCUGGAGGGCCGAGCUGUGAGAGCAUGUGGUAACCAGUGGACUCCCCCGGUCGGCGUUCUCUGUUGGAGGCCUGGAACACCAGAAGCGACACACCCAGAAGAGAGUCAAAUCAAACAUCAUUAUUCCCUGGUCAUGGAAAUCAGUUGAGCCUGCUGGUUUCCCAGACAAAACCCAAGGACAGCCUCAUACGGACAUCCUCACACAUCCAAUACCUGUCACUACAGAACACCACCUGUCGAUUACACUCCCCGAAUGUACAUUCUCCUCUGUCCCUGAGCCCUCUGCUGUUUCCUUCCUACUCAAACCCGUCUUUGAUUUCUAAAGUCAGAAGCCUGAGACAUGGAUUUCCUGUCUGUUUUACUCUGAAUAUUGGCAGGAGCUUGGAGUGGGAAAAAAAAAACAGGCGAGGAAAGAAGCUAGGUUUGUUGAUUUGCCAUCCUGGUGCCGGCAGCUUGCCACAGAAGCUAUUCUGGGUUUUUGUUUUGGGUGGCAGUGAUGAAGAUAGGGUUGAGGAGGAGGAGGGAUUUUAGCAUGGAGCUGCAAAAUGAGAAAUUAAGCGGUUUUCCCCAAAACAUGGCAACUCAUCGGAGUGGCAUGUAUUAGUUAAGGCUGUUAUUCUAAUCUGCACCUUCUAUUCUUCACUGCCUGAUUAUGGAGCAGAGGUGCCAAUCCUGUCUUACAGCUCAACUUGUUGACGGAAGCCGACACAGAUCUGACAGAGCUGAAGGCUCCGACACCCUUCAGAUGUAAGAACUGAAAUCCAAUCGGUGAGCAUGUUUGACCGUGGCCUAUGAAAAAUGAGACGAUGAGCUGAAUGAUGUCCAAACACAGCAGGAUUCAUUGAUGAAUUCAUGUGAAUGGAAAUAUGAUAAUCAGACUGGCUCACUUCUAUGUUCUCUUAUCACCAAUAUUACAUUUAGAGCUGGUUAAAAUAAUUUGACUCGGUUUCCCUGUCUUCAGCUGAUCACCACUUGUCCUUGAUCCCUGUCCUUAAAUGGAGAGCCAGCAUAACAAAGCCACAAUAACCACUUAUUGAAAAUCAUAUUUCAGGGUGGCGCUUAAUGGAGCGUGAAGUGGGGACACAUGUGAGAAGGCACUCAGAAAAUGACCUGCUAAUAUCCAUGACACAUUAACAGGAGCAUAUACAAGUAAAGAAAAGGGCCACAAUUCAUCCACUUCAUCCUAAUCUGCUUAAAUGGCUUUUCAAUCACACUUUUUAAGUGCUUCUCUUUUUCCACAGACAGAACAAAAUGCUGUGCAGUGUGAAAAGUGCUGUCUGUAAAUCAAUAACAAUAAUAUGACAAUAUCACUUUAUCACAAAAGCAGUUUUAAAAGUAGGCAACUGGACUCACCUAAAGUAAAUUGAAAACGUUUUGCCUCUCAUCCAAGAGGCUUCAUCAGUUCUACUGUCCUGGUGGGGAAUUUCAGGUAUUUAUCUAUCCACUCCACUUUUGACAAUGCACUACUGGAAUUCACUUGUUCUUGGAAUCUUUAACUUACCUUAAAAACUGCGACUUUUUGAAGAAGUUUAAAACUAUAAUAACAAUUUUAGCAUGCCCAGUUAUUCAUAAGUCACUGCAACAGAUUUUAACUGGAGAAAAUGGCAAAAGUUGAAUCCAAAAAAACAACAGAAAGAUUUGUGCUAAGUACUUUAUUAACUCCACACACUGCAGAGGGGGUCCACCAACGUAGACAGUAGAAUUGCGCUAUCAAUUUAUAAGUGAGCAGUUGUGCCUAAUGAUUUGGCCAGUGAAGUUGCUUAUCAAACUAUUUGGUAUUUGGACUACUAAUAAAACACUGUUUAAUUAUUUGGACAGUGACAAAUUAUGAAAUUAUUAAAA